Molecule: ribosomal RNA, 468 nt
Filed under: uncultured bacterium
Lineage: Bacteria
Description: partial 16S ribosomal RNA
Rfam family: Bacterial small subunit ribosomal RNA
Source: RNAcentral
GACGAACGCUGGCGGCGUGCUUAACACAUGCAAGUCGAACGGAAAGGCCCUGCUUUUGUGGGGUGCUCGAGUUGCGAACGGGUGAGUAACACGUGAGUAACCUGCCCUUGACUUUGGGAUAACUUCAGGAAACUGGGGCUAAUACCGGAUAUGAGCUCCUGCUGCAUGGGGGGGGUGGGAAAGUUUCGGCGGUUGGGGAUGGACUCGCGGCUUAUCAGCUUGUUGGUGGGGUAGUGGAUUACCAAGGCUUUGACGGGUAGCCGGCCUGAGAGGGUGACCGGACACAUUGGGACUGAGCUAAGGCCCAGACUACUACGGGAGGCAGCAGUGGGGAAUAUUGCACAAUGGGAGGAAGCCUGAUGCAGCAACGCCGCGUGCGGGAUGACGGCAUUCGGGUUGUAAACCGCUUUCGCCUGUGACGAAGCGUGAGUGACGGUAAUGGGUAAAGAAGCACCGGCUAACUACGUG